AGAAAGUCACGGCUAACUACGUGCCAGCAGCCGCGGUAAUACGUAGGUGGCAAGCGUUAUCCGGAUUUAUUGGGCGUAAAGAGAGUGCAGGCGGUUUUCUAAGUCUGAUGUGAAAGCCUUCGGCUUAACCGGAGAAGUGCAUCGGAAACUGGAUAACUCGAGUGCAGAAGAGGGUAGUGGAACUCCAUGUGUUAGCGGUGGAAUGCGUAGAUAUAUGGAAGAACACCAGUGGCGAAGGCGGCUACCUGGUCUGCAACUGACGCUGAGACUCGAAAGCAUGGGUAGCGAACAGGAUUAGAUACCCUGGUAG
Molecule: ribosomal RNA, 310 nt
Filed under: uncultured bacterium
Lineage: Bacteria
Description: bacterial SSU rRNA
Rfam family: Bacterial small subunit ribosomal RNA
Source: RNAcentral